GAAAUGCAGUGAACUCUAGCCCACCCGAAGGUUACAUAUAUAUACUUGAUCUAGAUUGUUGAGAGCUAGCAUGAAAAGACAGGAAAGAUUCAAGUAUUCAGAGCACCAUGACUGUUCUCAUUUCUGAAAGAAAAUGGAAUCUAAGACAUUUCAAGGAUUAGAAAUUUCAAGCAAGAUCUCACUUUCUUUUCCCGAAAGACUGUGUAAGUUAUAAAGACCAACAAAUGAAGAAUGAACAGAAUGACCUCAGAAACACUAUGAAAAUGAAACUUGACUGGGGCCUCAAUCCAUCUCCUAUUGAAGUCAGUGGAAGUCAAAAAUCUCUGUAUUUAAUGGAAGUUGGAUCAGACCCUAAACGAAAAGGGAAGGGUUGUUUGUUUAACUGUUGAAAAUGGACCUAUGUCAAUUUACACCAAAUGAAGAUUUGUCCCUUUAAAAA
Molecule: long non-coding RNA, 439 nt
Organism: Trachemys scripta elegans
Lineage: Eukaryota; Metazoa; Chordata; Testudines; Emydidae
Exons: 3
Source: RefSeq, a predicted model, not a curated record